CCUCUGCUUGCAGGGGUACUCGAGUGGCGAACGGGUGAGUAACACGUGGGUGAUCUGCCCUGCACUUUGGGAUAAGCCUGGGAAACUGGGUCUAAUACCAGAUAGGACCACGUCUUGGAUGGUGUGGUGGAAAGUUUUUUCGGUGUGGGAUGAGCUCGCGGCCUAUCAGCUUGUUGGUGGGGUAAUGGCCUACCAAGGCGUCGACGGGUAGCCGGCCUGAGAGGGUGUACGGCCACAUUGGGACUGAGAUACGGCCCAGACUCCUACGGGAGGCAGCAGUGGGGAAUAUUGCACAAUGGGCGCAAGCCUGAUGCAGCGACGCCGCGUGGGGGAUGACGGCCUUCGGGUUGUAAACUCCUUUCGCCAGGGACGAAGCGUCAGUGACGGUACCUGGAUAAGAAGCACCGGCUAACUACGUGCCAGCAGCCGCGGUAAUACGUAGGGUGCGAGCGUUGUCCGGAAUUACUGGGCGUAAAGAGCUCGUAGGUGGUUUGUCGCGUCGUUUGUGUAAUACCGCAGCUUAACUGCGGGGUUGCAGGCGAUACGGGCAUAACUUGAGUGCUGUAGGGGAGACUGGAAUUCCUGGUGUAGCGGUGGAAUGCGCAGAUAUCAGGAGGAACACCGAUGGCGAAGGCAGGUCUCUGGGCAGUAACUGACGCUGAGGAGCGAAAGCAUGGGUAGCGAACAGGAUUAGAUACCCUGGUAGUCCAUGCCGUAAACGGUGGGCGCUAGGUGUGAGUCCCUUCCACGGGGUUCGUGCCGUAGCUAACGCAUUAAGCGCCCCGCCUGGGGAGUACGGCCGCAAGGCUAAAACUCAAAGGAAUUGACGGGGGCCCGCACAAGCGGCGGAGCAUGUGGAUUAAUUCGAUGCAACGCGAAGAACCUUACCUGGGCUUGACAUGCACCGGAUCGCUGCAGAGAUGUAGCUUCCCUUGUGGCUGGUGUACAGGUGGUGCAUGGUUGUCGUCAGCUCGUGUCGUGAGAUGUUGGGUUAAGUCCCGCAACGAGCGCAACCCUUGUCUUAUGUUGCCAGCAUUUGGUUGGGGACUCAUGAGAGACUGCCGGGGUUAAC
RNAcentral lists this ribosomal RNA (1072 nucleotides) under uncultured bacterium. Its description in RNAcentral is "bacterial SSU rRNA". It matches the Rfam family "Bacterial small subunit ribosomal RNA", at positions 73 to 1162 of the family's 1533-position model. The record is from RNAcentral.